UAUUUCUAAACAGCAUUGCAGCAAUGAAACAGGCACAUUAUUCCACUUCCAACUGCUGGGCAUGCGUGUCUCUGUUGUCUGUGGAGGGCAGCUGUAGCCGGGUCCUCUGGAUUUUGUUUCACAGAGACAUCAUGGACACAUUUCAUGCCUUUGAAGUUGAGCUUGAUCUUCUGACAACAAAGAGACUUUCAGCCUGAGAGCCACGACAGUGAUGGCUGACAUUCGGAGCAUCACCUCCUCCUUCUUGCGUUAACACCCCUGCAGCUACCAUUUGGAGCCUGUCCAGGUCCCCCGGGCUGUUUCCCACGAGAUGCAGUUUGUGUUGAACCAGCUUUCACUUUCUGGAACGACACUGCGCUACCGUGUUUACUGGAGCUGCCGCUCUGAUGUUGGAGUACUACUCCAUAAACACUGGUAACAUGGGGACUAAAGUCAAACAUUGAGAAACUAAACUGUUGCUAAAUCAGGAAUGUUAAGUUUUUAAAAUGCUCUGAAUCCUUCCAGCAGCGCCGAGUGUUUCUACAAUGUUUACUGCAUGUUUGUGAUAUAUGCAGAUAAGUUAUUCAUGGUUCCUCCACCAGGAGCUGAACAGGAAGCUGAUGUCACAAACGGAGCAGAAGAGGAUGAAGCAAACUAGGAGGAGCGGUCCCUUCGCUCUGUCCCAGGCAAGAUCACCACGCCCAGUCCAGCUCUCUGAUGGAUACAACCUCCCAUCCCAUGAUGCCCUGGCACAGAUCCUACCAAAUGGUCGCUACCCUUUCAAGGAGGCAAGGACUGAGCUCCACAGAGCAGCCCAGCAAGAACAGGAGAGACCAGCAGAGAGGCCAGAGGCUACACAGGCCAACAAACCCAACAUUAACCACACCUAUCAAGUGCAUCAUGCACAUAAACGGUAAGAGAGACAACUACAUCCGAAAAUCAUGGAUUUAUUGUGAUGAUCAUUGCAUGAAUAAUUUUUUGGUAAGA
RNAcentral lists this long non-coding RNA (966 nucleotides) under Cottoperca gobio. RNAcentral's name for it is "lncRNA (ENSCGOG00000007629.1)". The record is from RNAcentral. Lineage: Eukaryota; Metazoa; Chordata; Actinopteri; Perciformes; Bovichtidae.